GGAACUGAGACACGGUCCAAACUCCUACGGGAGGCAGCAGUGAGGAAUAUUGGUCAAUGGACGAGAGUCUGAACCAGCCAAGUAGCGUGCAGGAUGACGGCCCUAUGGGUUGUAAACUGCUUUCAUAAGGGAAUAAAGUGAGUCUCGUGAGACUCUUUGCAUGUACCUUAUGAAUAAGGACCGGCUAAUUCCGUGCCAGCAGCCGCGGUAAUACGGAAGGUCCGGGCGUUAUCCGGAUUUAUUGGGUUUAAAGGGAGCGUAGGCCGGAGAUUAAGCGUGUUGUGAAAUGUAGACGCUCAACGUCUGCACUGCAGCGCGAACUGGUUUCCUUGAGUACGCACAAAGUGGGCGGAAUUCGUGGUGUAGCGGUGAAAUGCUUAGAUAUCACGAAGAACUCCGAUUGCGAAGGCAGCUCACUGGAGCGCAACUGACGCUGAAGCUCGAAAGUGCGGGUAUCGAACAGGAUUAGAUACCCUGGUAGUCCGCACGGUAAACGAUGGAUGCCCGCUGUUGGUCUGAAUAGGUCAGCGGCCAAGCGAAAGCAUUAAGCAUCCCACCUGGGGAGUACGCCGGCAACGGUGCAACUCAAAUGAAUUGACGGA
Molecule: ribosomal RNA, 602 nt
Filed under: uncultured Bacteroidota bacterium
Lineage: Bacteria; Pseudomonadati; Bacteroidota
Description: bacterial SSU rRNA
Rfam family: Bacterial small subunit ribosomal RNA
Source: RNAcentral